Long non-coding RNA from Vigna unguiculata (cowpea), 1119 nucleotides. The record is from RefSeq and is a predicted model, not a curated record. Lineage: Eukaryota; Viridiplantae; Streptophyta; Magnoliopsida; Fabales; Fabaceae.
CACUUUCUCCAAAAACAUCCAGAUCUCCAAAUCUGGAGAAAAUAUUUCAAACCCCACACACAGUCCUAAAUCCCAUAUCUCCUAAAAUUUAUUUCCCCCCCAAAUUUUCAACACCCAACCUACGAAUCCAACCUCUGCCCUUGUCGUGGUGAAUCGUCAAGAGCCGCGAACCACUCCGCCAUGGACCAUCUCGCAAGACAUCCGAUCCCUCGCCGAAGUUGUGCCUGAAGGUUGUACGUCAGCCAGUGGCAUGCGAUGAAGUUCGUGGACAACACAGCUGCGAGCUCCCGCGCGUUUCCUUUCCGAGGAACUGCCGCCCCUCGGUGAUGUUCUGUCGCACUGGAAGAAUGAUAUAGGUUUCUGGUUUAAUUUUUAAUUAGGAGCUAGUUAGUUAUUUGAUCCGGUUACAAUGGUUUUGGCUUGUUAUUUUGUGCCAAUUUUAUUAGGGUACGAUAUUUGAAACUCGUGUACACCAAUUUUCUUUUUUAUUCUUUAUGUUUUCUACUUUACAGAAAGGGAAAUGGAGGAGGUGGUUUUAGAAUUACAUCCCACUGCUUGAAUUUUUAAGAUGAAAGAAUCAUGGACAAAGAAACAAUCUGAAGGUGAUUCUGAGAUUUCAGCAUGGGUUAGUAAAAGUCGCAAAGUUAGAGAAGAAUAGAGCAUUGUAGCUCUCAAAGAUUUUUGAGGAGCAGUAUAGGGAAGUGAAAAUUGCAGUAGAGGGAAGUGAUGAUGAGGAUACAGCCCAACACACUAAUGGAAUUAUAUUGAAAUAGGUGGCAAGAUAAAAGACAUGGAUUGCGUGGAAGCUUUUGGAACUAGUGUGACAACAUGGGCGCGAAGAACAAUGGAAAAAUGCAAACGCAGAAGUUGAAGAUGUCCACACACAUGAUGUGCGAGAUUCUGGACCAAAUUGGAGCUAUAAAAGAAAUAUGUGAAGCACUUUUGUUGAGAGUAUGGAGCGUAGUGUUGUUAGUUUGAAUAUAUUGUAAUACAUAUGAUUAUUUUUGUCUUUUUUUGUUUGUUUUUUUGGUAUAUAGAUUCAAGUUUAAUUUUAAGGAGCCUAGUAUAGAUAUAAUACUUUUUGGAUAUGUAAAUAGGUAUGAUAUAUCAUAUUUGGAA